Molecule: ribosomal RNA, 367 nt
Filed under: uncultured bacterium
Lineage: Bacteria
Description: bacterial SSU rRNA
Rfam family: Bacterial small subunit ribosomal RNA
Source: RNAcentral
ACGUAGGGGGCAAGCGUUACUCGGAUUUAUUGGGCGUAAAGAGAAUUAAGGCGGUCAUGUAAGUCAGUGGUGAAAUCCCUCGGCUCAACUGAGGAAUUGCCUCUGAUACUGCGUGACUUGAGGACAGGAGAGGAAGGCGGAAUUCCCGGUGUAGCGGUGGAAUGCGUAGAUAUCGGGAGGAACACCUGAGGCGAAGGCGGCUUUCUGGACUGGUCCUGACGCUGAUAUUCGAAAGCUAGGGGAGCAAACAGGAUUAGAUACCCUGGUAGUCCUAGCUGUAAACGAUGGAUACUAGAUCUUGCAUGAUUUUGCUUGGUCGAAGCUAACGCGUUAAGUAUCCCGCCUGGGGAGUACGGUCGCAAGGCUG